This 253-nucleotide ribosomal RNA is filed under the name uncultured bacterium. RNAcentral's name for it is "partial 16S ribosomal RNA". It matches the Rfam family "Bacterial small subunit ribosomal RNA", at positions 524 to 776 of the family's 1533-position model. The record is from RNAcentral.
UACGUAGGGUGCAAGCGUUGUCCGGAAUUAUUGGGCGUAAAGAGCUCGUAGGUGGUUUGCUGCGUCCGCUGUGAAAACCCAAGGCUUAACCUUGGGCUUGCAGUGGAUACGGGCAGACUAGAGGUAGGGAGGGGAGAAUGGAAUUCCCGGUGUAGCGGUGAAAUGCGCAGAUAUCGGGAGGAACACCGGUGGCGAAGGCGGUUCUCUGGGCCUUACCUGACACUGAGGAGCGAAAGCGUGGGGAGCGAACAGG